Molecule: ribosomal RNA, 277 nt
Filed under: uncultured bacterium
Lineage: Bacteria
Description: partial 16S ribosomal RNA
Rfam family: Bacterial small subunit ribosomal RNA
Source: RNAcentral
AGCGAACGCUGGCGGCAGGCUUAACACAUGCAAGUCGAACGGAUCCUUCGGGAUUAGUGGCGGACGGGUGAGUAACACGUGGGAACGUGCCUUUUGGUUCGGAACAACACAGGGAAACUUGUGCUAAUACCGAAUGUGCCCUUCGGGGGAAAGAUUUAUCGCCAUUAGAGCGGCCCGCGUCUGAUUAGCUAGUUGGUGAGGUAAAGGCUCACCAAGGCUACGAUCAGUAGCUGGUCUGAGAGGAUGAUCAGCCACACUGGGACUGAGACACGGCCCA